CCUACGGGUGGCUGCAGUGAGGAAUAUUGGUCAAUGGGCGCGAGCCUGAACCAGCCAAGUAGCGUGAAGGAUGACUGCCCUACGGGUUGUAAACUUCUUUUAUAAAGGAAUAAAGUGAGGCACGUGUGCCUUUUUGUAUGUACUUUAUGAAUAAGGAUCGGCUAACUCCGUGCCAGCAGCCGCGGUAAUACGGAGGAUCCGAGCGUUAUCCGGAUUUAUUGGGGUUAAAGGGAGCGUAGAGGGGUUGUUAAGUCGGUUGUGAAAGUUGGGGGCUCAACCGUAAAAUUGCAAUUGAUACUGGCAGCCUUGAGUACAGGAGAGGUAGGCGGAAUUCGUGGUGUAGCGGUGAAAUGCUUAGAUAUCACGAAGAACUCCGAUUGCGAAGGCAGCUUACUAAACUGCCACUGACGUUGAUGCUCGAAAGUGUGGGUAUCAAACAGGAUUAGAUACCCGGGUAGUC
RNAcentral lists this ribosomal RNA (460 nucleotides) under uncultured bacterium. RNAcentral's name for it is "partial 16S ribosomal RNA". It matches the Rfam family "Bacterial small subunit ribosomal RNA", at positions 338 to 795 of the family's 1533-position model. The record is from RNAcentral.